RNAcentral lists this long non-coding RNA (476 nucleotides) under Elaeis guineensis (African oil palm). RNAcentral describes it as "long non-coding RNA (EGUI_LNC024234)". The record is from RNAcentral. Lineage: Eukaryota; Viridiplantae; Streptophyta; Magnoliopsida; Arecales; Arecaceae.
CAUAAUACCAUCGAUGACAAAAACUCAACAUCAGCAAAGUAUUGAGGUGGUUCGUCCACCUACUAAGGAAGCAACUUCACGCUCAAGACCAAAGCUCCUCUCCAGCACCACCUCCAACAUCGGUAAGAUCAGCAUGAUCAUCAGAGCAACAACAGCAGCCCACGGAGACUUUUGUCUCUUCCAUUUCAAUUAAGAGAAUUGAUCUUGCCCAAGUAUUCUUAUUGGAGACACCAAGGCUUGGUUGAGAUAUACUCACAGCAGUUUUGCCCCAAAGAGAUCUGGAGGCACAGAGGUGAGACUACAUAAUUGAAUAAGUAAUGAAUCGUGAUUUUAUCGAUCUACUUGAUAUAAGUUUCUUCAACUUGAGUGUUUUCUUUCCAUGCCUUUUCACAUCGAUUUUUUUUUUUAUCUUACUUUUGUUUUGCAGGUAGCACUAGACCUCAAGUUAAUGCAUGAAAACUUGAUCUGGCUGUACA